This 540-nucleotide ribosomal RNA is filed under the name uncultured bacterium. Its description in RNAcentral is "bacterial SSU rRNA". It matches the Rfam family "Bacterial small subunit ribosomal RNA", at positions 8 to 526 of the family's 1533-position model. The record is from RNAcentral.
AGAGUUUGAUCAUGGCUCAGAACGAACGCUGGCGGCGUGGAUAAGACAUGCAAGUCGAGCGAGACUUUCUCUGGUAGCAAUACCGGGGGAAGUUUAGUGGCGAACGGGUGCGUAACACGUGGGCAAUCUGCCGAGAAGUGGGGGAUAGCUCGCCGAAAGGCGAAUUAAUACCGCAUGUGACCAGGGGGGACAUCCUUCUGACGUCAAAGCCGGGGCAACCUGGCGCUUUUUGAUGAGCCCGCGGCCUAUCAGCUAGUUGGUGAGGUAACGGCUCACCAAGGCGGUGACGGGUAGCUGGUCUGAGAGGACGACCAGCCACACUGGAACUGAGACACGGUCCAGACACCUACGGGUGGCAGCAGUCGAGAAUUUUUCUCAAUGGGGGAAACCCUGAAGGAGCGACGCCGCGUGGAGGAUGAAGGCUUUCGGGUUGUAAACUCCUGUCAUUUGGGAACAAUGCUAUUCGGUUAACUGCCGAGUGGUUGAUAGUACCAGAAGAGGAAGAGACGGCUAACUCUGUGCCAGCCGCCGCGGUAAUAC